Triticum urartu is the source of this 1885-nucleotide non-coding RNA. Lineage: Eukaryota; Viridiplantae; Streptophyta; Magnoliopsida; Poales; Poaceae. The record is from RefSeq and is a predicted model, not a curated record.
CCCCGAUAGGAUCCGCCGCCGCCGCCGCCGCCGCCGGGGAACGAGGCGCCGCCGCCUCCCUCGCCCGCGGCCAUGAUGACCGAUCUGGCGUUGGCGCCGCAGAUCACCCUCUGGUCCAUGGCCUCGACUAGGUUGCUAUGAUCUGGCGACGGGGAUGCAAGGAGAAGCUGCUGCGGUUUCAAGGGGCCGUGAGGGUGCCCACCAUGAAGGCGUGUCUGGGAUGAUGGAGGUGAUAUCCGCCAGGUCCCCGUCGCCGUCGACUGGCGGCGGCCACCGUCUCCUCUUCCAUGGCGUCGUCGGGGCCUUCCCCUGCCAAGCACAGCGGCUUCUUGGCUGGAUCACCGUCGCACACCUCACCGGCGUGGUCGGCAAGAUCUGCAUCUCGAUCCUCGCCACUCUCCAUCCUCUUGCAGGUGGCAGGUUUAUAAAUUUCGAAAUAUAGUUGCAGCUUCACGGAAUGGACGGCCCAAAUUAUGUUAGUGUCUAUAUGUUUACUUGGUGGUGGUCUAGCGUGAGUGACACAUGCAUCUGUAACUUACCCAUUGGAUGUUCUUCGAAAUCACCUGACAACACAGAAAACCACUAGGUAUUACAAGGGCACCUUUCACACGUUGUCUACAAUUUGUAGAGAAGAGAAUGGUAGAGGAUUGUAUAAAGGCCUUUGGUCCACCUUAUUGGGAGUUGGACCUGAUAUAUCAAUCAACGUUUAUGUAUAUGAAUCCCUGAGGUCUCAUUGGAAAAAUGGAAAGUUGAAUGUCAAACUGUGCGACCAAUGAUUUGAUAUGGUUAAUUCCAGUUGGGUGUGUUAACCUACAGUAAUCAAUCAAGUCAACAAAUAUAACAAUGAUACUUUGUCUUCUGAUUUUGGUGAUGAUUUUUUUGUGACUGAACUAACAGGAGUUGAAGCAUAUGUGUUCUUAUUUUUUUUAUAUGACUACAUGCAUAUGAACUGAAGCUCCAUAAUUUUCUUUUCAAGUCGACAUUGGUGGCAACCAAUACAAUUAGCGUUAUUUACAACCAAUGAAGUCUUACAAUUUUCUUUCUUAGAAAUAUACGGUGACGCUGACUAUCAUUUAGUAGCUCUACAGGCACUAGCCUAAAACAAUAAUGUUUAUUUAUUUAACCACCAAAUAGAACAAUAGGUUAUUCUGCAUUAUGGGUACACAAAUCACAACACUAUAUUUCAGCUGUAGAAAUCUGUGUGGAUGCCUGCUGAUAUUUUAAGCCUACAUAUUGCCAAUUUGGUUUGAGUAAUGCUUGAAGCAUAAUUUACUCCCUAAUGUGCAAAUAGCAGUAUCAUUUUUUGUCAAGAAACUGAGAAGACGGAAGAGAGUUGGUGUUGUCAGUGUGGUGAGCCUAUGUGGCAACCACAAGGCUGAAGUCUGCUUUGAUCGUUGUUCAAGAUUUGAGCCUUGGCUCCGGUUUUGAUAGCUCUAUAUCAACUUUCAGCGAGUUUUUGUUCUCGGACUUGGGAUCCACAGUCCAAAGUUGAUUGGUGGAUCAAGUGAACUUGGUGCAUCUCCAUUCAAGCUGGAGUACAAUUACCAGCCUGCUUGUUUAGCGCAGUCUCCACAAUCAUACAAGCAAAUGAGCAGCUGGCGACCCAACACACAAAGUUUCUAUCUUCUUAUUUUCUAUACAAGUAGCAGCUGGCGCAGCGGUGGUGUUGAUGAACGACACCCAAUGCAGAGGCGGCAGUUACCAUAGGGAAGAGGUCAAGAACAUCUAGCUCUUGUGGUGUUCCUCCUCAUUAUUGUCAUCGCCAUCAACAACAACAAUGACGACCGGCUCAUGAGACAGCUACUAGAGAGGGAGCGAGGAAGGGGGAGACAGAUCUUUCAGGUACAAUGGUAUGACAACCAUGUUCUGAACUAUCAAUGGGAUU